CCUACGGGAGGCAGCAGUGGGGAAUAUUGCACAAUGGGGGAAACCCUGAUGCAGCGACGCCGCGUGAGUGAAGAAGUAAUUCGUUAUGUAAAGCUCUAUCAGCAGGGAAGAAAAUGACGGUACCUGAGUAAGAAGCCCCAGCUAACUACGUGCCAGCAGCCGCGGUAAUACUUAGGGGGCAAGCGUUAUCCGGAUUUACUGGGUGUAAAGGGUGCGUAGGCGGAAGGUUAAGUCAGCGGUCAAAUGUCGGUGCUCAACACCGGCCUGCCGUUGAAACUGGUCUUCUUGAGUGAGCGAGAAGUAUGCGGAAUGCGUGGUGUAGCGGUGAAAUGCAUAGAUAUCACGCAGAACUCCGAUUGCGAAGGCAGCAUACCGGCGCUCAACUGACGCUGAGGCACGAAAGCGUGGGGAUCGAACAGGAUUAGAUACCCCUGUAGUC
Molecule: ribosomal RNA, 439 nt
Filed under: uncultured bacterium
Lineage: Bacteria
Description: partial 16S ribosomal RNA
Rfam family: Bacterial small subunit ribosomal RNA
Source: RNAcentral